This 429-nucleotide ribosomal RNA is filed under the name Gemmatimonadota bacterium. RNAcentral's name for it is "Gemmatimonadetes bacterium partial 16S ribosomal RNA". It matches the Rfam family "Bacterial small subunit ribosomal RNA", at positions 355 to 776 of the family's 1533-position model. Lineage: Bacteria; Pseudomonadati; Gemmatimonadota. The record is from RNAcentral.
UAGGGAAUCUUCGGCAAUGGACGAAAGUCUGACCGAGCAACGCCGCGUGAGUGAAGAAGGUUUUCGGAUCGUAAAACUCUGUUGUUAGAGAAGAACAAGGACGUUAGUAACUGAACGUCCCCUGACGGUAUCUAACCAGAAAGCCACGGCUAAUUACGUGCCAGCAGCCGCGGUAAUACGUAGGUGGCAAGCGUUGUCCGGAUUUAUUGGGCGUAAAGCGAGCGCAGGCGGUUUCUUAAGUCUGAUGUGAAAGCCCCCGGCUCAACCGGGGAGGGUCAUUGGAAACUGGGAGACUUGAGUGCAGAAGAGGAGAGUGGAAUUCCAUGUGUAGCGGUGAAAUGCGUAGAUAUAUGGAGGAACACCAGUGGCGAAGGCGGCUCUCUGGUCUGUAACUGACGCUGAGGCUCGAAAGCGUGGGGAGCAAACAGG